This 330-nucleotide unclassified non-coding RNA is filed under the name Hevea brasiliensis (rubber tree). Lineage: Eukaryota; Viridiplantae; Streptophyta; Magnoliopsida; Malpighiales; Euphorbiaceae. The record is from RNAcentral.
AGAAGUUAUAUGAAUAUUUUGGAUCAGAUUGAAAUUCUUGUCAAUUUAUAAAUACAUCUUAAAUCUAUAAAUACCAUGACAAACAUUAUGGAAAUGGUCUAAAUAUUUUCUGGUAGCAUAAAAUUUAAAUACUAAUAAUAAUGUGGUUUAUUAAAAAAUUAAAAGCAUGAAGAUAGCAUGCAUUGAGGUUUGACCUUGAUUUUUAUCUAGAUAUAAAUUUGUUGAUGUAGCAUUUUAAUUGAAAAUUUUUAAAUUAUUUACAUUUUAAUAAUAAAAACUUGCAUAAAAAGAUUGGAAUCCUUGGGACUUGAACACCAUGCUGCAUGAUUA